Molecule: transfer RNA, 82 nt
Filed under: Pectobacterium phage DU_PP_V
Lineage: Duplodnaviria; Heunggongvirae; Uroviricota; Caudoviricetes; Demerecviridae
Description: tRNA-Tyr
Rfam family: tRNA
About the family: Transfer RNA (tRNA) molecules are approximately 80 nucleotides in length.
Source: RNAcentral
GGGGAGUUGGCUGAGCGGUUGAAGGCACCGGACUGUAAAUCCGGCAUACCACACCUUGGUUCGAAUCCAAGACGCCCCACCA